AAACCAGAGCAGCAGUAAUGCUGUUCUCAGUUUUCGUGAUGGUUUCCGUGGCAUUCAUCAUUGGUCUGAGCGAUGGAGAUUCUGUUAGUCAGCGCGAGCUCUUGGUCACACAGACAGAGGGAGAAGAUGUGACUUUAAACUGCACUUACACCGGCGAUGCUUAUUACUUGUUCUGGUACCGUCAGUACCCGGGCAGGCAACCCGAGUUCGCAGUCCGGAGGCUCGAGAGUGGAGGUGGUGAAUUUAAGGCGGAUUUUGCUCAGACCCGGUUUGCUGAUACAAUCCAAAAAUCUGACAAGUUGUACCGAUUGACAAUAUCGGAGCUGGUGCCGUCUGACACCGCGGUGUAUUACUGUGCAAUGAGCAUCACUGUGAUGAGAACGAGUGAAAGCCUCGUACAAUAA
Non-coding RNA from Hemiscyllium ocellatum (epaulette shark), 404 nucleotides. The record is from the annotation of a RefSeq genome assembly. NCBI's taxonomy places the organism in Eukaryota, Metazoa, Chordata, Chondrichthyes, Orectolobiformes, Hemiscylliidae.